GAUGAACGCUGGCGGCGUGCCUAACGCAUGCAAGUCGAGCGAAGCGCUUAAAUUAGAUUUCUUCGGAAUGACGAUUUUUGUGACUGAGCGGCGGACGGGUGAGUAACGCGUGGGUAACCUGCCUCAUACAGGGGGAUAACAGUUAGAAAUGACUGCUAAUACCGCAUAAGACCCCAGCUUCGCAUGAAGCGGUGGUAAAAACUCCGGUGGUAUGAGAUGGACCCGCGUCUGAUUAGCUAGUUGGUAAGGUAACGGCUUACCAAGGCGACGAUCAGUAGCCGACCUGAGAGGGUGACCGGCCACAUUGGGACUGAGACACGGCCCAGACUCCUACGGGAGGCAGCAGUGGGGAAUAUUGCACAAUGGGGGAAACCCUGAUGCAGCGACGCCGCGUGAAGGAUGAAGUAUUUCGGUAUGUAAACUUCUAUCAGCAGGGAAGAAAGUGACGGUACCUGACUAAGAAGCCCCGGCUAACUACGUG
This 481-nucleotide ribosomal RNA is filed under the name uncultured bacterium. RNAcentral's name for it is "partial 16S ribosomal RNA". It matches the Rfam family "Bacterial small subunit ribosomal RNA", at positions 28 to 507 of the family's 1533-position model. The record is from RNAcentral.